Oreochromis aureus is the source of this 1047-nucleotide long non-coding RNA. Lineage: Eukaryota; Metazoa; Chordata; Actinopteri; Cichliformes; Cichlidae. The record is from Ensembl.
GGUGAAUCAGCGGACUUUGGUGAACUUUCACUGCGAUUUUCAUUGCUCUUUGUCCCUCCAUCGCGGAGAUAUGACGAGAGAAGAAACGGCUUCAUUUUCGGAGUUUGAAAACUGAGAGGAGGACAGAUUUCCACCCCUCAAACAAACGUAAUUCAUUGCUCAACGGGGGCGCUCAUCACCAGCCUGAGGAAGUGUGCAGUGAUAAUGGGGGGAGACGCAGUAUUGUGUGUACUGCAGUCGGACAGAAGGAAAAACUUCCUCCUGAAAAUAUUUUCAUCCUUCACAAAAGUGUAUAAAUACAAUAAAAUACAGGCUCUUACAUAAAGUUAAAGUCAAAAGUCAGUUUUAUUUGUCAAUUUCUUCAAAUGUACUUGCCAUACAAAGGAAUUGAAAUUACGUUUCACACUGUCCCAUGCGUAGACAUUGACAACAAUAAAGUGCAGAUGCACAACAAAAACAGUCCUAACAAUAAGGUAAUAUUAAAUAAAAAAAAAGUGCAGAUAGACUUAAGGCAUUAUAUUUAGGUAACAUACAGGAAGUGUGAUGCAGUUGUGCACUGAGCACCUUUCCAAUGUUCCUUCCUCAGAUGAGUCCAGCUGCUGAACACAUUAACAUCUGUAUGUAAAUGUAGCCGAGAACCAACCUGAGCACUGCUGGGAAAAUAAAAAGGCAAACAUCAAACGUGCUGUAUUAUCUUAUUUAUUUUGAAUGUUGACUCAGAUCCAAACCACGAUUUAUGAAAUUAUAGAACUAAAAUAACAACAAUUGUCUGCUUCUUUAAAAUUUCUUUUAUUACAUCAAACCAGUGAAAAUGAAAGAAACAAAGAGCUGUUAGCAUGUUUAGACCAACUUUGAGACAGAGACUGUAAAGUUCUGCACUUUAAAUCCUGCAAAUGAUUCACCCUGAAAGUAUCUUAGUUUAGUAUAAGUGAGCCACAAAGCAGCCUAAUAGCUUUAAAAACAGUAAAAGUAAAUGAAAUUCCCAGUUUCAGUGUAGCUGGAUCUGAUUAUUGGGGGGUCGUGACCCCCGUAACCCCCCUGGAAAUU